RNAcentral lists this ribosomal RNA (429 nucleotides) under Pseudomonadota bacterium. RNAcentral describes it as "Proteobacteria bacterium partial 16S ribosomal RNA". It matches the Rfam family "Bacterial small subunit ribosomal RNA", at positions 355 to 776 of the family's 1533-position model. Lineage: Bacteria; Pseudomonadati; Pseudomonadota. The record is from RNAcentral.
UGGGGAAUAUUGGACAAUGGGCGAAAGCCUGAUCCAGCCAUGCCGCGUGUGUGAAGAAGGUCUUCGGAUUGUAAAGCACUUUAAGUUGGGAGGAAGGGCAGUAAGCGAAUACCUUGCUGUUUUGACGUUACCGACAGAAUAAGCACCGGCUAACUCUGUGCCAGCAGCCGCGGUAAUACAGAGGGUGCAAGCGUUAAUCGGAAUUACUGGGCGUAAAGCGCGCGUAGGUGGUUCGUUAAGUUGAAUGUGAAAGCCCCGGGCUCAACCUGGGAACUGCAUCCAAAACUGGCGAGCUAGAGUAGGGCAGAGGGUGGUGGAAUUUCCUGUGUAGCGGUGAAAUGCGUAGAUAUAGGAAGGAACACCAGUGGCGAAGGCGACCACCUGGCCUCAUACUGACACUGAGUUGCGAAAGCGUGGGGAGCAAACAGG